This 468-nucleotide ribosomal RNA is filed under the name uncultured bacterium. RNAcentral describes it as "partial 16S ribosomal RNA". It matches the Rfam family "Bacterial small subunit ribosomal RNA", at positions 28 to 507 of the family's 1533-position model. The record is from RNAcentral.
GACGAACGCUGGCGGCGUGCUUAACACAUGCAAGUCGAACGGAAAGGCCCUGCUUUUGUGGGGUGCUCGAGUGGCGAACGCGUGAGUAACACGUGUGUAACCUGCCCUUGACUUUGGUAUAACUUCACGAAACUGGGGCUAAUACAGGAUAGGAGCUCCUGCUGCAGGGUGGGGGUUGGAAAGUUUCGGCGGUUGGGGAUGGACUCGCGGCUUAUCAGCUUGUUGGUGGGGUAGUGGCUUACCAAGGCUUUGACGGGUAGCCGGCCUGAGAGGGUGACCGGCCACCUGGGGACUGAGAUACGGCCCAGACUCCUACGGGAGGCAGCAGUGGGGAAUAUUGCACAAUGGGCGGAAGCCUGAUGCAGCAACGCCGCGUGCGGGAUGACGGCCUUCGGGGUGUGAACCGCAGUCGCCUGUGACGAAGCGUGAGUGACGGUACCGGGUAAAGAAGCACCGGCUAACUACGUG